This 987-nucleotide ribosomal RNA is filed under the name Escherichia coli. RNAcentral's name for it is "partial 23S ribosomal RNA". It matches the Rfam family "Bacterial large subunit ribosomal RNA", at positions 1956 to 2925 of the family's 2925-position model. Lineage: Bacteria; Pseudomonadati; Pseudomonadota; Gammaproteobacteria; Enterobacterales; Enterobacteriaceae. The record is from RNAcentral.
GUAGCGAAAUUCCUUGUCGGGUAAGUUCCGACCUGCACGAAUGGCGUAAUGAUGGCCAGGCUGUCUCCACCCGAGACUCAGUGAAAUUGAACUCGCUGUGAAGAUGCAGUGUACCCGCGGCAAGACGGAAAGACCCCGUGAACCUUUACUAUAGCUUGACACUGAACAUUGAGCCUUGAUGUGUAGGAUAGGUGGGAGGCUUUGAAGUGUGGACGCCAGUCUGCAUGGAGCCGACCUUGAAAUACCACCCUUUAAUGUUUGAUGUUCUAACGUUGGCCCGUAAUCCGGGUUGCGGACAGUGUCUGGUGGGUAGUUUGACUGGGGCGGUCUCCUCCUAAAGAGUAACGGAGGAGCACGAAGGUUGGCUAAUCCUGGUCGGACAUCAGGAGGUUAGUGCAAUGGCAUAAGCCAGCUUGACUGCGAGCGUGACGGCGCGAGCAGGUGCGAAAGCAGGUCAUAGUGAUCCGGUGGUUCUGAAUGGAAGGGCCAUCGCUCAACGGAUAAAAGGUACUCCGGGGAUAACAGGCUGAUACCGCCCAAGAGUUCAUAUCGACGGCGGUGUUUGGCACCUCGAUGUCGGCUCAUCACAUCCUGGGGCUGAAGUAGGUCCCAAGGGUAUGGCUGUUCGCCAUUUAAAGUGGUACGCGAGCUGGGUUUAGAACGUCGUGAGACAGUUCGGUCCCUAUCUGCCGUGGGCGCUGGAGAACUGAGGGGGGCUGCUCCUAGUACGAGAGGACCGGAGUGGACGCAUCACUGGUGUUCGGGUUGUCAUGCCAAUGGCACUGCCCGGUAGCUAAAUGCGGAAGAGAUAAGUGCUGAAAGCAUCUAAGCACGAAACUUGCCCCGAGAUGAGUUCUCCCUGAGACUUAGAGUCUCCUGAAGGAACGUUGAAGACGACGACGUUGAUAGGCCGGGUGUGUAAGCGCAGCGAUGCGUUGAGCUAACCGGUACUAAUGAACCGUGAGGCUUAACCUUACAACGCCGAAG